Molecule: ribosomal RNA, 464 nt
Filed under: Vreelandella stevensii
Lineage: Bacteria; Pseudomonadati; Pseudomonadota; Gammaproteobacteria; Oceanospirillales; Halomonadaceae
Description: partial 16S ribosomal RNA
Rfam family: Bacterial small subunit ribosomal RNA
Source: RNAcentral
CCUACGGGUGGCUGCAGUGGGGAAUAUUGGACAAUGGGCGAAAGCCUGAUCCAGCCAUGCCGCGUGUGUGAAGAAGGCCUUCGGGUUGUAAAGCACUUUCAGUGGGGAAGAAAGCCUUGGGGCUAAUACCCUCGAGGAAGGACAUCACCCACAGAAGAAGCACCGGCUAACUCCGUGCCAGCAGCCGCGGUAAUACGGAGGGUGCGAGCGUUAAUCGGAAUUACUGGGCGUAAAGCGCGCGUAGGCGGUCUGAUAAGCCGGUUGUGAAAGCCCCGGGCUCAACCUGGGAACGGCAUCCGGAACUGUCAGGCUAGAGUGCAGGAGAGGAAGGUAGAAUUCCCGGUGUAGCGGUGAAAUGCGUAGAGAUCGGGAGGAAUACCAGUGGCGAAGACGGCCUUCUGGACUGACACUGACGCUGAGGUGCGAAAGCGUGGGUAGCAAACAGGAUUAGAUACCCUGGUAGU